RNAcentral lists this ribosomal RNA (253 nucleotides) under uncultured prokaryote. RNAcentral describes it as "partial 16S ribosomal RNA". It matches the Rfam family "Bacterial small subunit ribosomal RNA", at positions 525 to 777 of the family's 1533-position model. The record is from RNAcentral.
ACGGAAGGUGCAAGCGUUGCUCGGAAUCACUGGGCGUAAAGGGUGCGUAGGCGGCCGUGUAAGUCUGGCGUGAAAGCCCCGGGCUCAGCCCGGGAAGUGCGCUCGAAACUGCGCGGCUCGAGUGCCGGAGGGGAGAGUGGUAUUCCUGGUGUAGCGGUGAAAUGCGUAGAUAUCAGGAGGAAUACCGAUGGCGAAGGCAGGUCUCUGGGCUGACACUGACGCUCAUGCACGAAAGCGUGGGGAGCAAACAGGA